CCCUUAGAUGUUCUGGGCUGCACGCGCGCUACACUGAUACUUUCAGCGAGUCCACCACCUUGCCUGAGAGGGUGGGGUAACCUCUGGAAAGUGUAUCGUGAUGGGGAUCGAUUAUUGUAAUUAUUAAUCUUCAACGAGGAAUUCCUAGUAAGCAUGUGUCAUCAGCCCGUGCUGAUUACGUCCCUGCCCUUUGUACACACCGCCCGUCGCACCUACCGAUUGAAUGGUCCGGUGAAAUCUCGGGACGGCGGCUUGGUCGCUUGCGUCCGACUGCUGAAACUUGAUUAAACCAUAUCAUUUAGAGGAAGGUGAAGUCGUAACA
Molecule: ribosomal RNA, 322 nt
Filed under: uncultured eukaryote
Lineage: Eukaryota
Description: partial 18S ribosomal RNA
Rfam family: Eukaryotic small subunit ribosomal RNA
Source: RNAcentral